This 56-nucleotide ribosomal RNA is filed under the name Microdochium bolleyi. RNAcentral describes it as "partial 28S ribosomal RNA". Lineage: Eukaryota; Fungi; Ascomycota; Sordariomycetes; Xylariales; Microdochiaceae. RNAcentral also lists the same sequence under 4 other names. The record is from RNAcentral.
GUUGACCUCGGAUCAGGUAGGAAUACCCGCUGAACUUAAGCAUAUCAAUAAGCGGA